RNAcentral lists this ribosomal RNA (532 nucleotides) under Clostridioides difficile. RNAcentral describes it as "bacterial SSU rRNA". It matches the Rfam family "Bacterial small subunit ribosomal RNA", at positions 992 to 1524 of the family's 1533-position model. Lineage: Bacteria; Bacillati; Bacillota; Clostridia; Peptostreptococcales; Peptostreptococcaceae. The record is from RNAcentral.
UGACAUCUCCUUAAUCGGAGAGUUCCCUUCGGGGACAUUGGUGACAGGUGGUGCAUGGUUGUCGUCAGCUCGUGUCGUGAGAUGUUGGGUUAAGUCCCGCAACGAGCGCAACCCUUGUCUUUAGUUGCCAUCAUUAAGUUGGGCACUCUAGAGAGACUGCCAGGGAUAACCUGGAGGAAGGUGGGGAUGACGUCAAAUCAUCAUGCCCCUUAUGCUUAGGGCUACACACGUGCUACAAUGGGUAGUACAGAGGGUUGCCAAGCCGUAAGGUGGAGCUAAUCCCUUAAAGCUACUCUCAGUUCGGAUUGUAGGCUGAAACUCGCCUACAUGAAGCUGGAGUUACUAGUAAUCGCAGAUCAGAAUGCUGCGGUGAAUGCGUUCCCGGGUCUUGUACACACCGCCCGUCACACCACGGGAGUUGGAGACGCCCGAAGCCGAUUAUCUAACCUUUUGGAAGAAGUCGUCGAAGGUGGAAUCAAUAACUGGGGUGAAGUCGUAACAAGGUAGCCGUAUCGGAAGGUGCGGCUGGAUC